UGGGGAAUAUUGCACAAUGGGGGGAACCCUGAUGCAGCGACGCCGCGUGAGCGAAGAAGUAUUUCGGUAUGUAAAGCUCUGUCAGCAGGGAAGAAAAUGACGGUACCUGACCAAGAAGCUCCGGCUAAAUACGUGCCAGCAGCCGCGGUAAUACGUAUGGAGCAAGCGUUAUCCGGAUUUACUGGGUGUAAAGGGAGCGCAGGCGGCAUGGCAAGUCUGAUGUGAAAACCCGGGGCUCAACCGCGGGAGUGCAUUGGAAACUGCCAGGCUGGAGUGUCGGAGGGGUAAGCGGAAUUCCUGGUGUAGCGGUGAAAUGCGUAGAUAUCAGGAGGAACACCGGUGGCGAAGGCGGCUUACUGGACGACAACUGACGCUGAGGCUCGAAAGCGUGGGGAGCAAACAGG
RNAcentral lists this ribosomal RNA (404 nucleotides) under uncultured bacterium. RNAcentral's name for it is "bacterial SSU rRNA". It matches the Rfam family "Bacterial small subunit ribosomal RNA", at positions 355 to 776 of the family's 1533-position model. The record is from RNAcentral.